RNAcentral lists this ribosomal RNA (598 nucleotides) under Salmonella enterica subsp. enterica serovar Typhimurium. RNAcentral describes it as "partial 23S ribosomal RNA". It matches the Rfam family "Bacterial large subunit ribosomal RNA", at positions 1 to 629 of the family's 2925-position model. The record is from RNAcentral. Lineage: Bacteria; Pseudomonadati; Pseudomonadota; Gammaproteobacteria; Enterobacterales; Enterobacteriaceae.
GGGUUGUGAGGUUAAGCGACUAAGCGUACACGGUGGAUGCCCUGGCAGUCAGAGGCGAUGAAGGGCGUGCUAAUCUGCGAUAAGCGCCGGUAAGGUGAUAUGAACCGUUAUAACCGGCGAUACCCGAAUGGGGAAACCCAGUGUGAUUCGUCACACUAUCAUUAACUGAAUCCAUAGGUUAAUGAGGCGAACCGGGGGAACUGAAACAUCUAAGUACCCCGAGGAAAAGAAAUCAACCGAGAUUCCCCCAGUAGCGGCGAGCGAACGGGGAGGAGCCCAGAGCCUGAAUCAGCAUGUGUGUUAGUGGAAGCGUCUGGAAAGGCGCGCGAUACAGGGUGACAGCCCCGUACACAAAAGCGCAUGUGCUGUGAGCUCGAUGAGUAGGGCGGGACACGUGGUAUCCUGUCUGAAUAUGGGGGGACCAUCCUCCAAGGCUAAAUACUCCUGACUGACCGAUAGUGAACCAGUACCGUGAGGGAAAGGCGAAAAGAACCCCGGCGAGGGGAGUGAAAAAGAACCUGAAACCGUGUACGUACAAGCAGUGGGAGCACCCUUCGGGGUGUGACUGCGUACCUUUUGUAUAAUGGGUCAGCGACUU